GUAUAAUGAUGAAACCCAUGCGUGUCAGCUGACACUGUAAGCCCCUGCUGUGGUGUAGCUGUGGUCGGCGUUCUGCUGGCUCGAGCUUUCAUGACAACAGAGGUCCAGAGGCAUGAUCAUACGUUCAUUACUUCUGAAUAC
Small nucleolar RNA from Astatotilapia calliptera (eastern happy), 141 nucleotides. Ensembl annotates it as small nucleolar RNA SNORD10. Its record names the gene SNORD10. Lineage: Eukaryota; Metazoa; Chordata; Actinopteri; Cichliformes; Cichlidae. The record is from Ensembl.